Long non-coding RNA from Lycium barbarum (goji berry), 1579 nucleotides. RefSeq lists it as uncharacterized. The transcript is spliced from 3 exons. NCBI's taxonomy places the organism in Eukaryota, Viridiplantae, Streptophyta, Magnoliopsida, Solanales, Solanaceae. The record is from RefSeq and is a predicted model, not a curated record.
UUUUCGGUAGCUAAAUAUCAAUUUUUAUUAUAACAAUAGCGAUGGGACCAUAUCCGGUUGAUAAAACCCAUUAUAUCCGAUUGUUAAUAUUAACCCAAUAAAAAACUAAGCGCCACCCUUUUGUGUUUUUCCCUCGUUUUUUCACCCACAACCGUUCCUGUUCUCUCAAAACCCUCACUAUGAGCGCAAACUCAAAACCUAGCCACUAUCCCCCUCCCCCUCUCGCUUCUCUGUCUCUCUGUGUAUGUGUGUGAGAGAAACUCAAUUUUCUCCGCCUCCAUCUGCCGCAUGGACUCUGUCCUAAUAAAUCAGCCAUUAAAAUUGUUAGGAUUGAGACAAUUGACUUGCUUGACUCGAUGGAAUGAGUGAACUUGCCGGGAUCGUUAUGGAAUGAGUGAACUUGCCGGGAUCGUGCUCAAGGAGGAGUAGCUGGUAAUUAUUGUUGCAUCACUAGCCCACAGUCGCCAUGUUAGUUCAAAACGAGUUUGUUAGGCGCUUGAAAAUGUGUGGAGAUUAUCAUAUUUAUUAUCGAUCUAUGAUUACUUCUCCAUUGAGGGUUGUGACUUAAACUUAUACUCUUUUUUAUAAUGGCAUAAAACUUAAUUGUAGCUUCAAAUAUGAUUCAGUUAAAUAGGCAUAGCUGCAUGUAGCCUUAUCAAUCAAAUAUGCACCAGGAAGUUGACGGAGUUCUUAUAUAUGAUAGAAUGCAUAUAAAGACAUCACUUUUGCCAUCUCUACCAGCAUGAGUUACCAAUAUGACGAGGACACCUCUGGAACCAAACCAGCCAGCAGUGGAUAGGACACAAGAAGCCUGUCAACCAACCAGAACUGCUUCGUGAAUGUAAACUAAAGUGAGAUGUUUAUAUCCUUUUCCAUAAUAGUCUGAUUUGUCUUAGUUCCCUGUGUUGCCUUAGAAGAAUGGCUUAAAAUGAAAUAGCAAUAGUAGGUCUUUUGCUUCUUACUGAAUAAAUGAGACAUUCUAUUGUUGUUGAUCUUCCAUUCCCUUUGAUAUAGAGGCAUAAAAGAUACCUUUUAGAAAAUAUAUCUGGAGGCAUAACAUACAGGUGAUCGGCAUGCUUGUAAAGGUUGGAAUCUGAAAAAUUCUUUGGAGAAGGUGUAAGUUUUGGGUGGCGGUGAUUUAAUGGUCUUAAAGUACUGAAAUUUCUGAUCUUCAACAUUUGGUGUUCUAAACUGCUGGCAUGACAGCAUCUAGAGCAAUUUUUGUUUAUAAUUUGCUCAACUUAAUCUCUUUGCUUACGGAAUAGAUCUUUUCAUAUAAGUUGUAGGAAAGAUUUAAAGAUUUAGCAAAUUAUUGAUUGAGAGAGUAAAUGAUGCUUCACAUUUCGCUGUGGCCCAUAACUAGCCAUUAACUUUAUCCUUUUUGAAGGCAUAAAACGACUCUGAAUCAAUGAAGUGUAGAGUAUGCUGCCAUAUGUUCUUUUUUUUUUAAUUUUUUUUUUUUAAUAUUAAUGUCACGAUCCAACCAGAGGGCCAUGACAGGUACCCAGUAUUGGCUACCGAGCACCCUUUAUCACACUAUCUAUCGUUUAACCUAUACAAUUAAAAUCCCCAACAUGCU